Molecule: ribosomal RNA, 494 nt
Filed under: uncultured bacterium
Lineage: Bacteria
Description: partial 16S ribosomal RNA
Rfam family: Bacterial small subunit ribosomal RNA
Source: RNAcentral
GACGAACGCUGGCGGCGUGCUUAACACAUGCAAGUCGAACGGAAAGGCCUGCUUUCCCUUGUGGAUUGCGGGUACUCGAGUGGCGAACGGGUGAGUAACACGUGAGUGAUCUGCCCCCAACUUGGGUAUAAGCCUGGGAAACUGGGUCUAAUUCCCGAUAGGACUGCAGGGUGGUGCCUGUGGUGGAAAACGAUUUUCUAGUGGUUGGGGAUGAGCUCGCGGCCUAUCAGCUUGUUGGUGGGGUAAUGGCCUACCAAGGCGGCGACGGGUAGCCGGCCUGAGAGGGUGGACGGCCACAGUGGGACUGAGAUACGGCCCAGACUCCGACGGGAGGCAGCAGUGGGGAAUAGUGCACGAUGGGCGGAAGCCUGAUGCAGCGACGCCGCGUGGGGGAUGACGGCCUUCGGGUUGUAAACUCCUUUCGACCGCGAGGAAGCCACCUGGUUGGAAGGGUGGUGACGGUAGUGGUAGAAGAAGCACCGGCUAACUACGUG